GUGAGGAAUAUUGCGCAAUGGAGGCAACCCUGACCCAGCGACGCCGCGUGGGUGAAGAAAUCCCUCGGGAUGUAAAGCCCUGUUGUAUGGGAAGAGCAGAAGACGGUACCAUACGAGGAAGCCCCGGCAAACUACGUGCCAGCAGCCGCGGUAAUACGUAGGGGGCAAGCGUUGUCCGGAAUUACUGGGCGUAAAGCGCACGCAGGCUGAAUUAUAAGUCGGUAGUCAAAUACGGAGGCUCAACUUCCGGAUAUCUAUCGAUACUGUAAAUCUAGAGUAUGUGAGAGGGAAGCAGAAGUCCCGGUGUAGCGGUGAAAUGCGUAGAUAUCGGGAGGAACACCAGUGGCGAAGGCGGCUUCCUGGCACAAUACUGACGCUCAUGUGCGAAAGCUAGGGCAGCGAACGGGAUUAGAAACCCUGGUAGUCC
This 427-nucleotide ribosomal RNA is filed under the name uncultured bacterium. RNAcentral describes it as "partial 16S ribosomal RNA". It matches the Rfam family "Bacterial small subunit ribosomal RNA", at positions 354 to 796 of the family's 1533-position model. The record is from RNAcentral.